RNAcentral lists this long non-coding RNA (1061 nucleotides) under Homo sapiens (human). RNAcentral's name for it is "HSALNT0387467". Lineage: Eukaryota; Metazoa; Chordata; Mammalia; Primates; Hominidae. The record is from RNAcentral.
CAGAGCCCCAGUCACACUCUCUCCAAGGGGAGGCGGGGAGGACACGGGUUGUGGGCCCCUUGAGGGAUAAACAAGGGCAGUGUCUCACAUCUGUCUGAGCUUCUAAGAAGUCUCAGAGAGAAAAGUUUGCCAAGUGACAAUGAAAAGACAGCAGCCAAGUCAAGGACAGAGGAGCUGAGCUGAAUCACCAGACAGCGGGACAAAGCGGGCCAGCUUCUCCCCGUCCUCUGCUUCCAUGGGAACCGGGUCCAGCCUCCUCAAGGGCCUUCCUGACAGCUCCGGCCCUGCCCUCUGCCCUCUGCCCUCUGGGUCCCGGCAGCGCUCCCUGGCCAAGCUCCUCAAGUAACCCUUGCUUGGUUAACGGGCAAAAUGCACCACAGCCAACUGUGAUCUUCAGGGGAGGGAGGGCCCGUCUGACACUGAUUCCAGGUGCUAGCAAAGCACUCUAAAAUAUGUCGAGGAGAGGCUUCAGAGAGAUUAACGCAGCACGACCAUCAUCUGCGGAGCCAGGCCAUAUGCCAGGGCGGCCAAGAUUUCCCCUGCAACACUGGUCUCACACUUCAACCAUGACCUCCAUUCACGUAUAUAUAUGUAAGAGCUUAAUUAGGAUAUAAUUCACUUGCCAUGAAAUUCACCCUCUAAAACAUACAAUUCAGUGAUUUUUAGUGUAUUCACAGAGUUGUGCAGCCACCACCAUUUCCAGAACAUUCUCUCACCCCAUAAAGAAGCCCCAUCCCCAUCAGCAGUCACGCCCUGCUCCCCAUUCCCCACCCUCUGCCCGGGCAAUCUGUCAUCUGCUGUGUCUCUAGGAAUCUGCAGUUCUGGACAUUUCAUAGGGAUGAUACAAUACUUGGGCUUCUGUGUCUGGCUUCUUCCACUGAGUUUCACGAUGUUUCCCAGGUCUAUCCCUGCUACAGCGUGGAGCAGCAUGCCAUUGCUUUUCAUGGCUGGCUAAUAGUCCAUGCAACGGAUGGACCACAUUUUGUUUACCCAUUCAUCACUGGACAGCCAUGAAGGUGGUUUCCACCUCGGGGCCAUAAUAAACGACGUUGCUACAGACA